GAUGAAGAACGUAGCGAAAUGCGAUAACUAAUGUGAAUUGCAGAAUUCAGUGAAUCAUCGAGCCUUUGAACGCACAUUGCGCCCCCUGGUAUUCCGGGGGGCAUGCCUGUCCGAGCGUCAUUGCUGCCCUCAAGCCCGGCUUGUGUGUUGGGCCCCGUCCCCCUCUCCGGGGGACGGGCCCGAAAGGCAGCGGCGGCACCGAGUCCGGUCCUCGAGCGUAUGGGGCUUUGUCACCCGCUCUGUAGGCCCGGCCGGCGCCAGCCGACAACCCAUCAUCCUUUUCAGGUUGACCUCGGAUCAGGUAGGGAUACCCGCUGAACUUAAGCAUAUCAAUAAGCGGAGGA
This 344-nucleotide unclassified non-coding RNA is filed under the name soil metagenome. Its description in RNAcentral is "partial contains 5.8S ribosomal RNA, internal transcribed spacer 2, and large subunit ribosomal RNA". The stretch from base 1 to 120 matches the Rfam family "5.8S ribosomal RNA", at positions 35 to 154 of the family's 154-position model. The record is from RNAcentral.